UACGAGUGCCCCAAGCGUUAUCCGGAAUCAUUGGGCGUAAAGGGUGUGUAGGUGGUGUUGUUAGUCUUUUGUUAAAUUCUUCGGCUCAACCGGGGUCCUGCAAAAGAAACGGCAAUACUAGAGGAUGUUAGGGGUGUACGGAACUCAUGGAGUAGGGGUGAAAUCCGUUGAUAUCAUGGGGAACACCAAAAGCGAAGGCAGUACACUGGAGCAUUCCUGACACUGAAACACGAAAGCGUGGGUAGCGAACGGG
This 253-nucleotide ribosomal RNA is filed under the name uncultured bacterium. RNAcentral describes it as "partial 16S ribosomal RNA". It matches the Rfam family "Bacterial small subunit ribosomal RNA", at positions 524 to 776 of the family's 1533-position model. The record is from RNAcentral.